This 253-nucleotide ribosomal RNA is filed under the name uncultured bacterium. RNAcentral's name for it is "partial 16S ribosomal RNA". It matches the Rfam family "Bacterial small subunit ribosomal RNA", at positions 524 to 776 of the family's 1533-position model. The record is from RNAcentral.
UACGUAGGUGGCGAGCGUUGUUCGGAUUUACUGGGCGUAAAGGGAGCGUAGGCGGACUUUUAAGUGAGAUGUGAAAUACUCGGGCUCAACUUGAGUGCUGCAUUUCAAACUGGAAGUCUAGAGUGCAGGAGAGGAGAAUGGAAUUCCUAGUGUAGCGGUGAAAUGCGUAGAGAUUAGGAAGAACACCAGUGGCGAAGGCGAUUCUCUGGACUGUAACUGACGCUGAGGCUCGAAAGCGUGGGGAGCAAACAGG